Molecule: long non-coding RNA, 737 nt
Organism: Selaginella moellendorffii
Lineage: Eukaryota; Viridiplantae; Streptophyta; Lycopodiopsida; Selaginellales; Selaginellaceae
Exons: 5
Source: RefSeq, a predicted model, not a curated record
GUUCUUGUGUCAGAUCGCUUGGUUGUUGCGCGGCAAAGAGAUCAGUCCUCCAUUCCUUUGGUACUCUGCAAUCUCCCAGGUGCCCUGCGAUGGUUUGCGAUGGAUUGGGAGAAAUCUAUCCUCCAGCGCGCCUGAUUGAUUCGCUGCAGCGGAUAAAGAUCGAGGUAGGGAAAUGCCAGGACAUCUAGCCCUUAAUCGUUUCCUCUAUUCUUCCUUCGGAGAUUUGCGCUCUAGGAUCUAUAGAGCUAUCUCGAGAGUGGUGCAGCCAUUUCGCUGGACAGCUUGAGAACUUCGGUGAGAUCAACGGGAUGGGCUGGGUCGACCUGGAACUCAAACUUGUGAACCAACCGAGCCGUCCAGAGAAGAACAGUAGCGAGGCCGAGAGCUCGUCCGGGACACACUCGGCGACCAGCUCCGAAUGGAGCGAGACGCUCGGUCCAGAUGGAUGAAUCGUGAGUGAUGGACCACAUGUUUACCAUGGCCGUGGUGCCUGCAGGGACGUGGUGACCGGCCAAGGUUACGUCGUGAAUCGCAAGCCGAGCCCAAGAGAGCAAGGGACCCGGAGGAUGCAUCCGAAGAGUCUCCUUUACAACGGCUUGGAGGUACACCAUCUUGUGGAGGAUGGAGGACGAGCUCCGCGAGAAUCCACUCGGUGAGGAGAGCAACGGUGUCAGUGCCUCGGAAAAUCAUCUCCUGUGAAGACACGUAGACGUGAGUCACAAACGAAAAUGAGAAUU